This 484-nucleotide ribosomal RNA is filed under the name uncultured bacterium. RNAcentral describes it as "partial 16S ribosomal RNA". It matches the Rfam family "Bacterial small subunit ribosomal RNA", at positions 30 to 507 of the family's 1533-position model. The record is from RNAcentral.
AGUGAACGCUGGCGGCAGGCCUAACACAUGCAAGUCGAGCGGCAGCGGGUCCUUCGGGAUGCCGGCGAGCGGCGGACGGGUGAGGAAUGCAUCGGAAUCUGCCCUGUCGUGGGGGAUAACCUAGGGAAACUUAGGCUAAUACCGCAUACGACCCACGGGUGAAAGCGGGGGAUCGCAAGACCUCGCGCGAUAGGAUGAGCCGAUGUCCGAUUAGCUAGUUGGCGGGGUAAAGGCCCACCAAGGCGACGAUCGGUAGCUGGUCUGAGAGGAUGAUCGGCCACACUGGGACUGAGACACGGCCCAGACUCCUACGGGAGGCAGCAGUGGGGAAUAUUGGACAAUGGGCGCAAGCCUGAUCCAGCCAUGCCGCGUGGGUGAAGAAGGCCUUCGGGUUGUAAAGCCCUUUUGUCAGGGAAGAAAUCGUCUGGGCUAAUACCCCGGGCGGAUGACGGUACCGGAAGAAUAAGCACCGGCUAACUUCGUG